UUCGGGAGAAGGGGGGCCCCACGGUGUGAAGGUUCUUGCGGCUGGAAGCGUUGUGGGGUCGCAGAGAAUAGAGGGAAGCGACUGUUUAUUAAAAACACAGGUCCGUGCGAAGAUGUAAGUCGAUGUAUACGGACUGACGCCUGCCCGGUGCUGGAAGGUUAAGAGGAGUGCUUAGCGGAAACGCGAAGGUAUGAAUUGAAGCCCCAGUAAACGGCGGCCGUAACAAUAACGGUCCUAAGGUAGCGAAAUUCCUUGUCGGGUAAGUUCCGACCUGCACGAAUGGUGUAACGAUCUGGGCACUGUCUCAGCCACGAGCUCGGUGAAAUUGUAGUAUCGGUGAAGAUGCCGAUUACCCGCAAUGGGACGAAAAGACCCUGUGAACCUUUACUAUAACUUCGUAUUGACUUUGAGUAAGCAAUGUGUAGGAUAGGUGGGAGACUUUGAAGCAGGCACGCUAGUGUUUGUGGAGUCGCUGUUGAAAUACCACCCUUUGCUUACUUGGAGCCUAACUUCUUUCAGAAGGACAUUGCGUGGUGGGUAGUUUGACUGGGGUGGUCGCCUCCAAAAGAGUAACGGAGGCUUUCAAAGGUACCCUCAGCACGCUUGGUAACCGUGCGUAGAGUGUAAUGGCAUAAGGGUGCUUGACUGUGAGACCUACAAGUCGAUCAGGUGCGAAAGCAGGACAUAGUGAUCCGGUGGUUCCGUAUGGAAGGGCCAUCGCUCAUAGGAUAAAAGGUACUCCGGGGAUAACAGGCUGAUACCGCCCAAGAGU
RNAcentral lists this ribosomal RNA (772 nucleotides) under Aurantiochytrium limacinum. Its description in RNAcentral is "partial Bacterial large subunit ribosomal RNA". It matches the Rfam family "Bacterial large subunit ribosomal RNA", at positions 1735 to 2499 of the family's 2925-position model. The record is from RNAcentral. Lineage: Eukaryota; Bigyra; Thraustochytrida; Thraustochytriidae.